AUGUCAUCAGUUGAGUCUCUAGGCCUGUUUCUUUGGAUAGUAGGUUCCCCUCAAUCUGUAAGACAAGCAGAAAAUAGAUUUGUUAGGUCAUUGGAGACAAUUGUAAGGAAGUUUGAUAAGGUUUUGGAAUGUCUGAUCAAGCUUGCAAAAGACAUCAUCAGGCCAAUAGAUCGUCAAUUCAGAACUGUGCAUUCCAAAUUAAGAUCUAGAAAGUAUGCACCAUUUAUGGAUAAUUGCAUUGGUGCAAUAGAUGGGACACACAUACAAGUUGUGGUACCAGUUGCCACUGCUACCCAGCAUAGGAAUAGACAUAAGGAGAAGAGUCAGAAUAUGAUGUGUGUGUGUGACUUUGAUAUGAGAUUCACAUUUGUCCUAGCUGGUUGGCCAGGAUCAGUGCAUGACAUGAGGGUCUUCAAUGAUGCACGAUCCAGAUUUGGUGACAAGUUUCCAAAACCUCCACCUAAUAAGUUUUAUCUUGUGGACUCAGGGUACCCAAAUAGACCGGGUUAUCUUGCACCAUACAAGGGUUUAACCUAUCAUUUCCAGGAGUACCAUGAUGGCACAAUGCCUAGAGGAAAAAGGAACACUACAAUUUCACCCAUUCUUCACUUAGAAAUGUCAUCGAGAGGUGUUUUGGAGUCUUGA
RNAcentral lists this ribosomal RNA (645 nucleotides) under Triticum aestivum (bread wheat). RNAcentral describes it as "partial small subunit ribosomal RNA". The record is from RNAcentral. Lineage: Eukaryota; Viridiplantae; Streptophyta; Magnoliopsida; Poales; Poaceae.